Molecule: ribosomal RNA, 253 nt
Filed under: uncultured bacterium
Lineage: Bacteria
Description: partial 16S ribosomal RNA
Rfam family: Bacterial small subunit ribosomal RNA
Source: RNAcentral
UACGGAGGGAGCUAGCGUUGUUCGGAAUUACUGGGCGUAAAGCGUGCGCAGGCGGUUUUGCAAGCCGGAUGUGAAAUCCCCGGGCUCAACCUGGGAAUGGCAUUUGGGACUGCAAGGCUCGAGUGCGGCAGAGGAGACUGGAAUUCCUGGUGUAGCAGUGAAAUGCGUAGAUAUCAGGAGGAAUACCGAUGGCGAAGGCAGGUCUCUGGGCUGACACUGACGCUCAUGCACGAAAGCGUGGGGAGCAAACAGG